CGUGCCUACGGGGCGCAGCAGUAGGGAAUUAUCGUCAAUGGGCGCAAACCUGAACGAGCAAUGCCGCGUGAACGAGGAAGGUCUUCGGAUCGUAAAGUUCUGUUGAAGGGGAAAAAGAGCGGAGAGAGGAAAUGAACUCCGAUUGAUAUUACCCUUCGAGGAAGUCACGGCUAAAUACGUGCCAGCAGCCGCGGUAAUACGUAUGGAGCAAGCGUUAUCCGGAUUUACUGGGUGUAAAGGGAGCGUAGGCGGCCCUGUAAGUCUGAUGUGAAAAUUUGGGGCUCAACCCCAAACGUGCAUUGGAA
RNAcentral lists this ribosomal RNA (305 nucleotides) under uncultured bacterium. Its description in RNAcentral is "bacterial SSU rRNA". It matches the Rfam family "Bacterial small subunit ribosomal RNA", at positions 333 to 631 of the family's 1533-position model. The record is from RNAcentral.